This 916-nucleotide ribosomal RNA is filed under the name uncultured Bacillota bacterium. RNAcentral's name for it is "bacterial SSU rRNA". It matches the Rfam family "Bacterial small subunit ribosomal RNA", at positions 23 to 916 of the family's 1533-position model. The record is from RNAcentral. Lineage: Bacteria; Bacillati; Bacillota.
CUCAGGACGAACGCUGGCGGCGUGCUUAACACAUGCAAGUCGAACGGAGAAUUUAUUUCGGUAAAUUCUUAGUGGCGAACGGGUGAGUAACGCGUAGGCAACCUGCCCUCCAGUUGGGGACAACAUUCCGAAAGGAAUGCUAAUACCGAAUGUGAUCCCUUUUCCGCAUGGAGAAGGGAUGAAAGAUGGCCUCUAUUUAUAAGCUAUCGCUGGAAGAUGGGCCUGCGUCUGAUUAGCUAGUUGGUGGGGUAACGGCUCACCAAGGCGAUGAUCAGUAGCCGGUCUGAGAGGAUGAACGGCCACAUUGGGACUGAGACACGGCCCAAACUCCUACGGGAGGCAGCAGUGGGGAAUCUUCCGCAAUGGACGAAAGUCUGACGGAGCAACGCCGCGUGAGUGAUGAAGGUCUUCGGAUUGUAAAACUCUGUUGUCAGGGACGAAUGUGCGAACGUUGAAUAAGCGUUUGUAUUGACGGUACCUGACGAGGAAGCCACGGCUAACUACGAGCCAGCAGCCGCGGUAAUACGUAGGUGGCAAGCGUUGUCCGGAAUUAUUGGGCGUAAAGAGCAUGUAGGCGGGCUUUUAAGUCCGACGUGAAAAUGCGGGGCUUAACCCCGUAUGGCGUUGGAUACUGGAAGUCUUGAGUGCAGGAGAGGAAAGGGGAAUUCCCAGUGUAGCGGUGAAAUGCGUAGAUAUUGGGAGGAACACCAGUGGCGAAGGCGCCUUUCUGGACUGUGUCUGACGCUGAGAUGCGAAAGCCAGGGUAGCAAACGGGAUUAGAUACCCCGGUAGUCCUGGCUGUAAACGAUGGGUACUAGGUGUAGGAGGUAUCGACCCCUUCUGUGCCGGAGUUAACGCAAUAGGUACCCCGCCUGGGGACUACGAUCGCAAGAUUGCAACUCAAAUGAAUUGACGG